CCAUUUUCCAAAUCCAGAUAAAUAAUUUACAAUGGACUCUUGCAUCUGUACCAUUGAUUAAAGCCUUGCAACUCACUCUCUCUUUCUUUUUCUGGUAUUCGUGCUUUUAUCUUGAGCUAUGCUCCCUGUGGAUGUCAUUCGGAGUGUAUAUAACUAGAGUGCUCUUUCAGACAGUUUCAUUUGUUUCCUUUUUGUUCAUCUCUCAUGGCUAUUGCAUCACCUGCGCACGCCUUUCCAUAACGGAGUGUCGAACUACUUCUGCAAUCGGAUGUGUAUUUUACUCUACUCUUUUUGGCUACCGAGCUUUUAUACCUUAUUUCAAGAAUGUUAAAGAAAUUUCAGAGAGCUAUGCAAAUAGUUGCAGUGAAAGAAGGAAAUAAGAAAAGAAAAGAGAGCACGUGGGUUGUUUGAAAAAGCUAAUAAUGGAUGAAGGUAUAUUUGAAGGUUCGUUUCGCGAGAAAAAGAUUGGAAGCUAGAAAUCAAGUUGGUGAGAUUAAAUUCAAGUCAUAUUUUGGGUUUUGUUGACGU
This is a long non-coding RNA of Hibiscus syriacus, 528 nucleotides long. RefSeq lists it as uncharacterized. The transcript is spliced from 3 exons. Lineage: Eukaryota; Viridiplantae; Streptophyta; Magnoliopsida; Malvales; Malvaceae. The record is from RefSeq and is a predicted model, not a curated record.